UGGGGAAUAUUGGACAAUGGGCGAAAGCCUGAUCCAGCCAUGCCGCGUGUGUGAAGAAGGUCUUCGGAUUGUAAAGCACUUUAAGUUGGGAGGAAGGGCAUUAACCUAAUACGUUAGUGUUUUGACGUUACCGACAGAAUAAGCACCGGCUAACUCUGUGCCAGCAGCCGCGGUAAUACAGAGGGUGCAAGCGUUAAUCGGAAUUACUGGGCGUAAAGCGCGCGUAGGUGGUUUGUUAAGUUGGAUGUGAAAUCCCCGGGCUCAACCUGGGAACUGCAUUCAAAACUGACUGACUAGAGUAUGGUAGAGGGUGGUGGAAUUUCCUGUGUAGCGGUGAAAUGCGUAGAUAUAGGAAGGAACACCAGUGGCGAAGGCGACCACCUGGUCUAAUACUGACACUGAGGUGCGAAAGCGUGGGGAGCAAACA
This 427-nucleotide ribosomal RNA is filed under the name uncultured bacterium. RNAcentral describes it as "partial 16S ribosomal RNA". It matches the Rfam family "Bacterial small subunit ribosomal RNA", at positions 355 to 774 of the family's 1533-position model. The record is from RNAcentral.